AUUGAACGCUGGCGGAAUGCUUUACACAUGCAAGUCGAACGGCAGCACGGACUUCGGCCUGGUGGCGAGUGGCGAACGGGUGAGUAAUGUAUCGGAACGUGCCCAGUCGUGGGGGAUAACGUAGUGAAAAUUACGCUAAUACCGCAUACGAUCUAUGGAUGAAAGCGGGGGAUCGCAAGACCUCGCGCGAUUGGAGCGGCCGAUAUCAGAUUAGGUAGUUGGUGGGGUAAAGGCCCUCCAAGCCAACGAUCUGUAGCUGGUCUGAGAGGACGACCAGCCACACUGGAACUGAGACACGGUCCAGACUCCUACGGGAGGCAGCAGUGGGGAAUUUUGGACAAUGGGCGAAAGCCUGAUCCAGCCAUUCCGCGUGCAGGAUGAAGGCCCUCGGGUUGUAAACUGCUUUUGUACAGAACGAAAAGGUUUCUACUAAUACUAGGAGCUCAUGACGGUACUGUAAGAAUAAGCACCGGCUAACUACGUGCCAGCCGCCGCGGUAU
RNAcentral lists this ribosomal RNA (500 nucleotides) under uncultured bacterium. RNAcentral describes it as "partial 16S ribosomal RNA". It matches the Rfam family "Bacterial small subunit ribosomal RNA", at positions 30 to 523 of the family's 1533-position model. The record is from RNAcentral.